CCCCGCCCCCCGCGCACCCCAACGGCCCCGGGCGACGGUUGGGGCCGGCCGGCGUGCGCCCUCACCUUGGUUCACCAGCCGCAGAGCGUGCGUGAAGGAGGGGUCCAGGGAGUCCUUCUCCGCCAUCAGCUCCGGCAGGGUAUUUUCAUUUCUGAGAAGUCAAGACCACAGGCUUAACUUCUAUAAGCCUCAGUUUCCUUAAUUAUUUCCUGAACUACAGAGUGGAAUAGAACAUUACACUCCAAAGAAAUGAUGCCACCUCUGCUGAAGAAGCUGUCAGGUUUUAAUGGCAUGAGGACAAUUUACUUCAAGUCAGGUCCAAGUAGCUGCUCGAUGCUGGAGAAGUUGCUUCCAAGCAGAUCUUUAAAAAUUGGCUGAGGAUCUGGGGCUGCGUGCAGAGCAGUUAACUCACUGAGUAGUUUCUGCAAGACGUCAAGUUGGCUCUCGUAACAGGCCCCUCGAAUUAGCCCAAGAGCCCUUAUGACAAACACGGCUCUGAUUAAAAGAUUAAUGUGGUCGUA
Long non-coding RNA from Canis lupus familiaris (dog), 521 nucleotides. RefSeq lists it as uncharacterized. Lineage: Eukaryota; Metazoa; Chordata; Mammalia; Carnivora; Canidae. The transcript has 3 exons. The record is from RefSeq and is a predicted model, not a curated record.